RNAcentral lists this microRNA precursor (52 nucleotides) under Parasteatoda tepidariorum (common house spider). Its description in RNAcentral is "microRNA pte-mir-11965 precursor (pte-mir-11965-2)". Lineage: Eukaryota; Metazoa; Arthropoda; Arachnida; Araneae; Theridiidae. The record is from miRBase by way of RNAcentral.
GAUGAAGGAAUUUGUGUUCAUAGUUACAUAUGAACACAAAUUCCUUCAUCUC